This 358-nucleotide transfer RNA is filed under the name uncultured Microcystis sp. RNAcentral describes it as "partial 16S-23S ribosomal RNA intergenic spacer". The stretch from base 133 to 206 matches the Rfam family "tRNA". The record is from RNAcentral. Lineage: Bacteria; Bacillati; Cyanobacteriota; Cyanophyceae; Chroococcales; Microcystaceae.
AAGGGAGACCUAAUUCCGGUAGGAGACGAAAAAAAAGUAGUCCCAACCAAGAAUCAAUCCCAAAAGGUCGGAGCGAGGUAUGAGGCUUUCAAACUAGGUUCUGGGUUCAAACAAGACCUGAAUCAGGAACAAGGGCUAUUAGCUCAGGUGGUUAGAGCGCACCCCUGAUAAGGGUGAGGUCCCUGGUUCGAGUCCAGGAUGGCCCACCUGCACAGGUGGCAAAAACAAGAGAAGCUCCGAAUCAGCACCUUAUCUUAUAUACAUAUAUAAGAGAGAAUGCUGGCUCUGAGUAAAGAGUCCAGAGGAACCUUGAAAACUGCAUAGAGCUAGGUGAAAAAGCCAAAAAAGAAGACCGCAA